AUUACACACCACAGUUUACAAAGGACAAAGACAUUGCAAAUCUCUCUUUAUCUUUAUAUCUCUAUAUAAGCCCUCUCGAAUUGAUGGGUGAAAUUCACCACUGCGCUCUCCAGAUUGGCUGGGACAGACUCUGGGACAUCCAGAUUGGUCGUCUGGCUGUGAGGGCUGUUAUGAUUGGUUUUCCUGCAGAGAGGUCAUCCCAGACAGACGUCUGACCGGUGGGCGGUGUGUGUGGCGGUGUGUGUGGCGGUGUGUGUGUGUAUUCUGACGCAUUGCUGCAGUGCCCUCCAUGCAAAUAGCUGUGCAACGCUAUUUCACCUCUUAGACACACAUAUGGAAGCAUUCAAGCAUGAAUGUAUAAGGGUGUGUGUGUGUAAACUGUAAUGACAUUAUGGAACAGUUGUAAUAUGUGUUCAGAUUAUUAUUACUGUUCUCCUCUGUUCAGACCCGGCAUAUUAGCACUCUGUCUCCAUGACAACCAGCAAAUCCUCCACCACCACCAGCUCCGCAACAAAGAUACCACAGCCCCCUUUACACACACACACACACACACACACACACUGAGAGAACCAGACCGCCAGUCUCUUUAGCAGGAAGUUAGUACAGAG
Long non-coding RNA from Esox lucius (northern pike), 608 nucleotides. The record is from Ensembl. NCBI's taxonomy places the organism in Eukaryota, Metazoa, Chordata, Actinopteri, Esociformes, Esocidae.